Non-coding RNA from Dermacentor andersoni, 4565 nucleotides. NCBI's taxonomy places the organism in Eukaryota, Metazoa, Arthropoda, Arachnida, Ixodida, Ixodidae. The record is from RefSeq and is a predicted model, not a curated record.
ACGAGUGGAUGCUUGGAGUACCAGGAAAAGAUGGAGAUUGAAAUUACUGUAUCUGGAGAACAGCUGUCACAUUUAGACUGCCCAGUGUUUGCUGCAGAGCGUGGAACUUUCACUGGUGAACUGCAAUGUGGAGCAAAUUGUCAUGCUAAUGAUAAUUGAGUGUUUCUGUCAGAGACCGUUGCCCUUCUAGAAGACGGUGUUUUAUGUACUUGUGGUGUUUAUGGGUGAAAUGGAGUAACUGAGCACAGGGGUGACCUUUGUCAUCGCUAGAAAGUGCUAGGUGAGAUGGAUGGGAAAUUCUGCAGAGACGCACUUAACAACAAAGUGUGGGCAUCUGACCUAUGCAUUGUCCAGUUCAGUUCUUUGCUGCUGGCUUACUCAUCGUCCCUCAUGGUGCCAUUUAGUGCAGCAGAGCCAACUUAGUGAACCAGGACCAACUUUUACCACUGUGACUUAAUCAAAAUCAGGUGUCUUGAAAAUAGCUGCUGGCAUGUAUUUUUGCUAGGGAAGUUUGCCUGUGGCUCAUAAUGUCAUUGUUCCUAUCAAAGUUGCCGACAUCGCAGCCUAGGUUUGAAAGGGAGGCCAGGCCACUGGGUAGCUUUGCAAUGGUAGCCCAUUUGCCAGUCUACUCCAAGUCUUAGUGAAUGUGUUUGUGUAGUCGCUAAUUUAUUAUGCUUACUUCUCAGCAGCUGGCCUGUUGUGGGAAAACUGUAGAAAAGCUCAUGUCCCAACUGUGCAGUUAGUGAAGUUACAAGUGAUAACAUUAAAAAAAAAAAAAACAUAGGCUCUCUUCCACUGUUCUCGUUCACUGUGACGUUUAGAAAGCAAUCACUGGUGGUUUGGUUAAACAUUUCUGCCAACUUAGAUGAUUCAUGUGAGAACUGUCGAACAUUGCCUAGCCCAGAUAUGUUGCGAUUAUGUCUGUGACAGUUACUGUCACACUCUAAAGAGUUUCUCUUCUUGACUCGAUUCAAUAAAGCGAAUAUGGCGAUUCCACCCUCGAGUGGAGUGGCCACUGUGCUUCGACGAGACUCCAUGAUGAUUGCCGAGUGAAAAUUUCAUAACUUGGCAUUCAAGGUCUAUUCGAAUGCACUUGAGUGUUUCCAAUUCGUCUCAUUGUAAGGUUCACCCAGGGGAAUCAUUUAACUGCUGUGUCUUCGGCAGUUGAGGAAAAGUGCUGUGUGUGUCACAUUCAUGUGGCGCAGUUAAAAAACGAGGUUCAAGUUGAGGCUUGUUUGUGAAUACUCGGGAUAACGUAUUACUUAGGCACUUGUCACUCUGUUCCUUUAGCAAUGUGUUCAUUGUUUCAAUUUCUACUAGCCUCCGACAGCGUUUAGUAUUUCAAUUCUAAGGCCUCCAUUUACUUCGAUGAUGCCUGUAGCCAUGUAAUAUUGUGCAGGCUCAAUUAGAAGCCAAUCUACUCUCUGCUGACCACUGCCGCUUUCUUGUUCAAAUGACAGACAGCCCUGCAAAGCCAGCCGCAGCGUCCACUGCAGACCUGAUCAAGCGAGAGGGGAUCAGCUGCUCACUGUGUGGCACGGACCUGGUGACGGAAGACCAGUUGCGAGCACACCGUUGCAGUGAGAGGCCACUGCCCCGUGGACGGGGCCGCUAUGCAUGCCGCUACUGCCGCUUCGCCUGCAACGACCGGCUUGAACACAGUCUGCACCAGACACAGCACCUCAAGGACAGACCGUUCAGCUGUGGUGUGUGCGGCAAGGCGUUUGCACGCAACAGUGACCGCAACCGGCAUGUCAAGAUCCACACGGGGGUCCGGCCCUUCCAGUGCGACGUGUGCUCGCGCAAAUUCCGGCAGUCGUGGCACCUCCAGUAUCACCGCAGCACCCACACAGACUUCUGAUGCCGGCGACACAGGUUUCUGAUGUCACGAGUGAUGGCAUUUUGGCCAACAGAGAUCUGAGCUUCGUCGUGGGAUGUGUCUGCAACAGCCAAGCCUGCACGUCGUUCAGUGGUGUCUAGCAGCACAGCUGCGGCAACCAGUGACCAUCUGUCGUGCCUGCGUCCUAUGAGUCUCGUUGCUUCUUAAGAUCUCGCUUGCGACUCUUGCUUUGUCUGAGCCCCUGAAACGUCCAUUGUGUGCACCGAGGCUGUGCCCUUGCCAAGUGGGUGCCUGUGCGUCUCAUGAUACAGGGUGUUGCAUGUUGUGCACAUGGCCAAUAUGAAAUGUGGACCUUUUGUUGGAUGUUCCUUGCUUCUUUCUGUAUGAAAUGGAUGAGUAGCAUCAGUAGUUACGUUAGCUGUACUAACUAAAUAUUGCCACAAAUUUUGAAAGAUACAUAGUGGUGGGCUGUACAUAAAUAGAACCAGCUUAAGUUGCUACCUGUGGCCUUUUCUAAAGUUGACCUUUUUUCAUCACUUUGUAUAAGAGUAAUGAAGCAACGUUUCAGUUAUUCACCAUGACAUCAUUUACUAAUUUGUAGGGGACGAUGAGAAACUGUCUUUAAAUCAAUUUAAACUAAACAACUUAUCAGGCCUAAUGAAAAAAUACUCAGUAGCAGCAUAUGGCUGAUUCCACUCAUGUAGCAUGUAGAGCCCUCCAUUAUAUUUAAAAACCUCUGCAACAUUUUAUUGGAACAGCUGCUGCGCAGUGCCUAACUGCUACUGCAGGGAUGCAUAGCUUUGUGACGUAACCAUCAACUCUGGCUUGCUAGAAGGGGAGCACGUUGGACUUGGAACAGAAUUCAUCCGUGUUUCAUCUUAGCCACCUGAAUUACCAGCUGGGAAACUAUGGCCUGCACUGUUGGACCAUUGGCACCGGAGUCUUGCACGCAUGGGUUGCUACACGUGCUCUGCUUUUUUGCAUGCGCAAACAUCAUACGAUUCUUCUUGUCAACAGUAACUCUCAGCAUAAGUCUGCCAAACAAAACUGCGAGCUUGUGUGUUUGUUACUGCUACGAUGAUACAAGACAGUAAUCCCUCGCAGGUAAUCAGGUCAAUGUGAAACUAAGUAUCAAGGAAGGCAGGCCACGUAUACCUACGAGAGGUUUCCGUGCCAAAAACUCAGCAUCUAAACUAAGGCUGUUUGUUAUUUCUAAAUUAUGUGACGUUAAGUGUGCAGUGUUUUACGAGUAAUGUUUGCGUGCACCCCAUGCAUGAAUUCAACAGACGAGCCGUGAAACCGUGUAGUGGCAAACUUGGUCAAAGUAGUUUUGUCCGACCUGUUCGUAACACUGUGAAGUCACUGAGUUGAAGUUAACUUACUGGCAAACUAUGGCAGCGUACUAAGUCAGCACACAUGGUACCAAAGAAUCAAAAUAUUUGCUGUAGGAGCUUGCCCUUUCACUGCCUUUUACAAGAAGCGUUAUCUCUCUAGCACAAUAUAAGAGACCAUGAAAAUGCAUUGUAACAUCCGACUCUGCAAACUUGAACUCUUCUGAACCUCUUCAGCGUGAGCAUAGAUUUGUUUUUCUUUAGGUGGGGAGUUGCGUCUUGUAGACAACUUCUUUAGAAAUCUUCAUUCUUCAAGUUAAGGCGCUGUAAACUUGUAGACAAAUGUAAUUUUAUAUGCCUAUUUCAAAUAUAUGGAAUCUAUAUUUGUUGAUAUCAUUUGUUCAUAAUGUGAUUGAAGUUUCAUUUACCUAAUAUAAUCUUCAAAAUUUGCAAGCGAUCAAUUAUUCAGAUUUGACUGGACAGGUUAUCAGUGGCUUCGGCACGAUUCAAGAAACACAGUAAGGCCAACCUUGUUGCUUUGGCUAACCUAGAACAAGAGUUGCAGGACUUGGAAGUUGACACUCGGAGUUCUGUUCUUCUUGGAAUUCUCUUUUGAAGCCUCACAACUCUUGCUGUCUUGCUUAAAGGUAAAAGAAAAUGUCAUAUAAUUUAAACCGAAUGAGGUAAACAAAAGUGGAGUUCAUAUUUGAAAUAAGGGCAUAAAGUUAGAUAUAUCUACAAACUCUACAAGAUGUCAGCGCCACAACUUGAGAAAUAAAGAUUUUUUAACGUUUUCUUUUUCCCCUAAGAUCCAAUUCACCCCUUAAAUGUCGUUGCACUCUGUGCCGCUGCAUAUAUUUCUUGCAUGCGAGUUCUGCUGCAGUGAAAUCAUCGCUUCAAAGAUAAAAGGUGAAAAGCCAAUAACGAGAAAAAAAAUUAUGCAGAUCCAACGCACAUCUUGGAAUCUAUGUGAAGCGAUGCUUUCGUGAAGCGUUCAGUGAAAUGCCACAGAUUUUGCCACUUCAUUCCUGCGUCUUUGACAAGAAACUGCCGCACGUAAAUGUGCUCCCACACAACUUGCUGGCCAGUGUGACAUCUCCAGGAGCUAGUUGGCAUGACAGAAGCAUGCGUGCAACUGUGGCCUGACAGAGUGUUGGGCUGCUGUGCUAGGGGUUUGAUCCCACCAUCGGGCAUGUAAUUCAAUUUCUUUUCUUUAAAGUGUGAGCUAUCUUACAAGACAGUCGGGAAAGUCCAGGAGAGUUCGCUUUAAAAUUGGCCUACGUACAACACACAACAACCAAGUACUUGUAAACGAAAGGUGAUGACUUUUCGCUGGAACUCAAAGAGUGUUACCUUUAAGAAUUUUAAGGAUGAACUUUUGUUUGGCAAGUUGU